RNAcentral lists this long non-coding RNA (1156 nucleotides) under Sus scrofa (pig). Its description in RNAcentral is "lncRNA (ENSSSCG00060020832.1)". Lineage: Eukaryota; Metazoa; Chordata; Mammalia; Artiodactyla; Suidae. The record is from RNAcentral.
GAAACAUGGAGUGAGGACGGGGCUGCUGGUUGAGAGGGGCUGGUCUAGGCCAAUACUCUGCUCUUCUGUGCUAAGGACUGGAUUCGGGAUGAGGGACAGGGGAGGAGGAUGGGCGCCACAAGCAGCCCCGGAAAUCCACGGCAUCUCAGGCACACGUUCAGGCGGCCGUGCAUCUUUCAGCAAAUGUUUACCCUGCACAGCUCCGUGCAGACACCGCGCUAGGUGUGUAAAUACAGCCGUGAACAAGAUGGUAGCCCUGGCUUUUCACUUUCUUCUUCUUCUUCUUUUUUGUCUUUUUGCCUUUUCUAGGGCCGCUCCCAUGGCACAUGGAGGUUCCGGGGCUAGGGGAAGCCUCCGCCAGAGUCCACAGCAACGCCAGAUCUGAGCCCUUUCUGUGACCUACACCACAGCUCACGGCAUCACUGGAUCCUUAACCCACUGAGCAAGGCCAGGGAUGGAACCCGCAACCUCAUGGUUCCUGGUCAGAUUCGUUAACCACUGAGCCACGACGGGAACUCCCUUCACUUUCUUUUUAACAUAAGCCACUUUGUUUUAUUUUGGCUUUUUUGGCCACAGCUGUGACUUAUGGAAGCGUCCGGGCCAGGGAUCGAACCAGUACCACAACAGCGAACUGAGCCACAGCAGUAACAACAACGGACCCUUAAAACUAGCCAUUUUAUCAUCNUUUUUUUUUUUUUUUUUUUUUUUUUUUUAUCUUUUGGCCGUUCUGCAGCACAUGGACUUCCCAGGCCAGGGACUGAAUCUUAGCCAGAGUUUUGACCUACACCCCAGCUGCGGCGGCAACGCCAGAUCCUUAACCCUCUACACCAGGCCUGGGAACAAACCCAAGUCCCUGCCACUCCAGAGAUGCCGCUGAUCCCGUUGCACUACAGGGGGAACUCCCCCAACUAGCCACCUUAUUGUGUGCAAUUCAGCAGCAUCAAGUAUAUUUACAUAGUUGUGAAAUCAUUUUCACCAACCAUCUCAAAAACAUUUUUCUCUUUCCCCCAAAGGAAACCCUGUAGGUUUCAAGCAAUCGGUCCAGCCCCCCUCCACCCGCAUCCUGGCAACCACUAGUCUACUUUCUGUUUCUGCGGAUUUGCCUCUUCCGGACAUUUCAAAUAAAUAGAAUCAUACAAUAUGUGGACUUUUGUGC